This 3895-nucleotide long non-coding RNA is filed under the name Ananas comosus (pineapple). RNAcentral's name for it is "long non-coding RNA (ACOM_LNC037461)". Lineage: Eukaryota; Viridiplantae; Streptophyta; Magnoliopsida; Poales; Bromeliaceae. The record is from RNAcentral.
CGCCAUCGGAAGCCCUCCUCUUCAGAAAUCGAAGAUCGAAGAUCGAGUUCUUCACUCUUCAGAAAUCGAAACCCUCCUCGUCGCCUCUUCCUCUUCCGCUUCCGCUAUCCAACGAUAGAUCAGUAAUCGGGUGGUUCUUUACAAACCAGGUACCAUUUGAGUUUUCAUUCUUCAAAGCAAAAAUUGGAAGCUUUUAGUCCUAAUGGAUACUUUUUUAUACACAAAUGGCUCGUGUGCUUAUUGCUUAAUUGAAUGUGUCCAUUCUCUGUUAUGCACAAAGAAGACCCAAACAUAGAGCUAAAUAAUCUUAAUUAACUUAGGGACUAGGAAGUUCAGAACCUCCAAUAUAUUUUGAUGGAGCCUUGUGGUGCUCUUUCUAGCUAACCAGGCAACUUAUUUUAAUCCGAUCCCUGCACACAAAUCUCAAAUUCUCAAGGCAACUUAUGUAUGCUUAUAUGUGGAAUUGUGUGCUUGUAUGCUCUAUGUUUAUUCAAGCUUUUAUGUAUGCUUAUAUGUGGAAUAGUAAACUUUAUGUAUCUUUUAUUUGUUUACUGUUUAGUCUUUAGCAUUUAGAUAUGGUAGUAUGCAGUUAUGCACUAUGCAAAGUGCCAAUUUCAUCUUGUAUUUAGUUUUUAAUUAUGCUGGUAGCCUGGUAUGUGAACCUUUAUAUUUUACAUUUAAAUAUGGACUAUCUUGAUCUCUUAUUUGCUUAAUUAUUUCUUUAUUUUGAGGCAUAAUAUAGUUUACUAAUUUUUUUUUUUUACUUAAUUAGUUUAAUUUUGUAGCUCUUUAUUCUUAUAUUCUUAAAAAAUAUGAGUGUUUAUGCUAAUAGCAUAAAUCUUGAGAGGAAAAAAACUUAAUUUAAUAGCCAAAUUUUUGAUCCCGAAUUUUUAAUUGGUGAACGUAUAAUAUCCGUAUAAAUCAUUUAUCCGAAUAAUUGGCGAAUCCGUUUUUUAGCCCAUUUUUUCAAUGAAUUUAAAAUUAGAAGACGAAUUUUAUCCGAAUUAUACCCGUACCGAACUUUUGCCGAAUCCGAAUUAACUAACUAUGGUUGGAAUUUGUAGAGCUUAAGCAACAUGUGCAUUACCUACAAUCUUACAAGUAAAUGUCGGCACUUCUUCUUGAUCUCUGUACAAAGACUAGAUAGACAUUAGACAACUUGUGAUAAGCAAAUUUAGUCCUAUCUGAUCAGGAUGAGUUUUCUGGUUUUCUAUUAGUUGUUUCAAAAUGGUUGAAACAUGAUAUGUUUAGAUAGAGCAUUUAAUUGAACUACACUGGAAGGACCCUACCAUUUGACUUGGUUCUGGUGAAAAUAGCCUGUUCGAUUAGCUUUAGGGAAUUUGAUGAUAUUAAAAAACUUUCCAAGACACAAAAGUCCAUAGAGUUGAACAUCGUAACAACCUGGGUAAAUAAACCGAGUUAAACUACACAAGCGACAAAAGAAAUAAGUCACAUCCAAGCAAACAAAAGGAAAGCUAGAGACGGAAUGUUAACCUUGUUGACAUCCAGUAUUUCGUGGGAACUUUUAGCCAAGAGCUGGUUAAGAAUUUUCUCAGUUUGCUGCUUCUCUUGAGCACCCAUCCUUUUUCCUUCAACAACAGGGAGAAACUGCACACGAGGUAAAAAAAUAAUAAGGGGCAAAAUUCGUGUCAAAAUGGAAAAGAAUGGCUCAGUAGGAAAAGAAAAAAUAGUUCUUAUCAAGGUUUAAAGUGUCGUGGCAGGGAGGCAUGCCGUUAUCUGCCUGGCACGGUACGGCACCGGCACGCUUCCGUGCCGACACAUGAUACGCUUGCGUGCCGAUGGAUACGCACGACCUCCUACUGGCACGCUUUGGCACGGACUUAUUUCAAUUCUUUUGGUUCCAAUAAGCUCUUAUAAUGUUAUUUUAGAAAAUUUAAUCAAAUAAUUAUGAAUAUUUGCUAUAAUACUCAUCAAUUAACAUAUUUGUAAACUUUUCUGUAUGUAAAGUACAACCAUAUCUGAUGUAGAACAGAAAUUUUUAUAGGUUAGAAUUUUUAAAAUGCAAAGAUAUCUUUUUUUCUUUUUUUUGAUCAUAUUACAGUCUUUUUUUUAUAAAAUGCAAAAAAAUAAUUUAAAAAUUAUUUGAAAAAAUUAUUUUAAAAAGUAUUUGAAAAAUUAUUUUUUUAAUUAAUUUUUUCAAAAAAUAGUAGACCUAUCAAUAAAAUUAAGCAAUAAAUUAUAUGACAAAUAAAUUAAAUAAAUUUAAGUAUCAAUUGAUUUAAUUUAGUUUUUAAUUUUAUCAGUAUUUUCAAUCUUUUAGCACAAAAAUAAAAUUUUAUAUUUGAUGUGGCUCAAAUUUUUUUAUUGAGUUCGAUUUUGUUCUCUUAAUUUGCCAAAAAAUUCACAGUGCGACAAAUUUUAAUAAAAUAAUUUGUAAAAGAAAAAUAGAUAUCUAUGAUAGAAGCAAAAAAGUUCGGACAAAUUUUUUGUCCGUAUAUUGAUAAAAAAAAAUUAAAUUAUAAUUUUUUUGACUUACCUCAUAAGUAAAUUUUCGAUUUGUAAUGUCUUUGGGGAGAGGCGUGGGGUAUCUAGAAUGCUUUGGAUACCCCAAAGAACAAAACAAAAGGAAAAAAAAAACAAAAAGCAAGAAAAAAAAAAUAGCAUAAUGCCGGCACGGCACUGUGCCGUGGCACGCUGCGCCGUGCCGCUCUGUCUCGUGCGGCACGGCGUUGUGUGCCGCGGCACGGAGGGGGGUCCGAGCCUCCCCCCACACGCGUACCGUGCCACCUUCUUGGUGGCACGGCACGGGGCGGCACUUUAAACCUUGGUUCUUGUGGCAGAAUUGGAAUUGCUGAAGCUUUUGCAGAUGUUCCAUUUGACUAGAAUGAAUCAAAAAAGCACUAAUAUACAGACACAGAAUAUUUUGAUUUAGCCAUAUAGGUACUCGAAAACCUUUGGAAGUCCUAUUUAACUACCUAGUAUUACAAUAUGCUUGAUGUAACUACCUCUCUGCCAGGACUUAUAAAUGUCUUGGAUAAAUAAUUCUAUAAACUAAAAGAAUACCAUGUUAAUUGACAAUAUUCUAUAACUCUUUGAAUGAUUAACAGAACUUUCUAAAAUCAAAACUAAUAAAAGGCGAGACAAUGAAAUUGAAAUUUCAAAGUUCUAACUAUCCAAUUCAAAGUGAGAGCAUAAUUCCUAGUGAGGUUCCUAAAUUGUUAACAAAUAUAAAGACUACCCUAACAGCUUCCUACUGUACCGGUAGCAGAGUGGAAGCUUUAAAUUGAAGCUUCUCUGCUUUUAGGGGCCUGACACUCAUCUUAGCUUCUUGACACAGCAAAAAGUCCAGACUGUUAAUUUGCCAAUUGUCUAACUCGUCGAGUAGAGAACCUUUUCUAAAAAGCAAGCCAAAGUAGGACUUCAUUUGAGCAACAAACCUUUCUAUACUUCCCAGUGUGCUUUGGCGGCUUCUCUCCUGGCAACUUUUUAUCAAAUUUCCCACCACUUGCUGUUGCAGUUGCAGCAAACCCGGCCACAUUCUCAAGAUCCUCUUUGCUUGCUUUUUAAGGUGCUUCUUUGUUGACCUGUACUUUGGUCAAUGUCUAGGUUUUUUUGGUGCUGUUUUUCUUCAUGAUUUGCUAUUUUCUUUUUGAUUUGAUUAUUUGUUGAUGUAGGGUUUAUGAUUUUUAGACAAGAACUUUUGCUAGUUGUUACAUAUCUGACCUUCGUUUUUUUCCUUCUUAAUUUCUGCAGUGUGUCGCAUCACAUCCGGAUACUAUGAUCCAUUUCUUAAAUGGUAAUUGAGAUAUUCUAUGCUUAGUGAGCUUGCUUAGUUGAUGCUCCUAUCGUAUGGUAAUUUAAACUCUUUUUUUAUGGUAAUUUAAACUCUUUUUUUUUCUUAUUUUCUAUGGAAAAAGAGAGAGAGAGAGAUGAG